CGCACUCCAGCUUCAGGCUUUCUGUUCUCUCUAUAGCUUAAUGGCUCACAGACCUUUUCUGAGACAGCCAGAUGAAUCUGUGAACACAGCCCAAGACAAGUGGCGAUUACCUUGUUAUGGUGAUUCAGCACCAACCCUAUGCUUCCACAAUUCUGAAAGUGAACAACGGCAAAAGAAGUCAUGUAACAUCUAACAAAAAAAAAUACCAACAAAAACUCCAUUAAGAUUGGAUUAAGGUGCAUUCGAGUAUUGGCAUGUUUUCCUAAAUUUUAUGGCAUCAAAAUGUUCAGGAAAGUUGGAGUUCUAGACCUAAAAUUGUAGCAAUGGUUUCCUCAACUGCAGAAGGAGACACUUCUUCCAGACAGCCCA
RNAcentral lists this long non-coding RNA (369 nucleotides) under Fukomys damarensis (Damara mole-rat). RNAcentral's name for it is "lncRNA (ENSFDAG00000030554.1)". Lineage: Eukaryota; Metazoa; Chordata; Mammalia; Rodentia; Bathyergidae. The record is from RNAcentral.